Molecule: microRNA precursor, 94 nt
Filed under: Aotus nancymaae (Ma's night monkey)
Lineage: Eukaryota; Metazoa; Chordata; Mammalia; Primates; Aotidae
Description: miRNA (ENSANAG00000009190.1)
Source: RNAcentral
GGAGAAUUGCUUGAACCUGGGAGAUGGAGGUUGCAGUGAGCUGAGAUCGUGCCACUGCACCCCAGCCUGGGCGACAGAGCAAGACUCUUGUCUC